GGCCCGGUUGCGGAUGGUCCGCACCUGCAAAAAAAACAUCGUGUUUGUGCUCAAGCUACAUCUGCAGGAAACGCUCGUUCGAAUCGAGCCCGGGCCA
Molecule: non-coding RNA, 97 nt
Organism: Mycena maculata
Lineage: Eukaryota; Fungi; Basidiomycota; Agaricomycetes; Agaricales; Mycenaceae
Source: the annotation of a GenBank genome assembly